Molecule: non-coding RNA, 30 nt
Filed under: Mus musculus (house mouse)
Lineage: Eukaryota; Metazoa; Chordata; Mammalia; Rodentia; Muridae
Source: RNAcentral
UUUUUGUUUCUAAAUUGCCUGUGACACAUC